Long non-coding RNA from Hordeum vulgare subsp. vulgare (domesticated barley), 407 nucleotides. RefSeq lists it as uncharacterized. The transcript is spliced from 3 exons. The record is from RefSeq and is a predicted model, not a curated record. Lineage: Eukaryota; Viridiplantae; Streptophyta; Magnoliopsida; Poales; Poaceae.
CGCUCCACAACUCCGCGCCCGGAGCAGGCGGAGCUGUAGUUAAAAAUCGCGGAGCCUUGGUCCGAGUCUCUGUUUCUCAGGCUGUGCUCCUCCUGUCUACUAUCAAGGCAGUGGUGACGCACCUUCACCAGAGAUGGGUUAGAUUGAUUCAUCUGCUGCUGCUUUUGUUUGUUGGUCUUGAUAGAGAACUUCAUCAUGGUUACUUCAUGGUAUGUCUGGCGCAGAAAUUUUGAUGAUGGCAGAGAGGAGAUAUUCCACAUUCUUGAGGCCUUGAGAUAUUAUAGGGUUAUCUAUUAUCAUGGUUGGGGCGGACUUGGGGCGUCUGAUAUGCUUAGAUCCAUAGCGGAAGUGCUCCCAUAUAGAACAACCACUCCGGAACUAUGCUUUGAUAAAAUAAUUCAUAUAGA